Molecule: ribosomal RNA, 874 nt
Filed under: Oculimacula yallundae
Lineage: Eukaryota; Fungi; Ascomycota; Leotiomycetes; Helotiales; Ploettnerulaceae
Description: partial large subunit ribosomal RNA
Rfam family: Eukaryotic large subunit ribosomal RNA
Source: RNAcentral
AAACCCAACAGGGAUUACCUCAGUAACGGCGAGUGAAGCGGUAACAGCUCAAAUUUGAAAGCUAGCUCUUUUAGGGUUCGCAUUGUAAUUUGUAGAAGAUGCUUCGGGUGUGGCCCCGGUCUAAGUUCCUUGGAACAGGACGUCAUAGAGGGUGAGAAUCCCGUAUGUGACUGGGUGCUUUCGCUCAUGUGAAGCUCUUUCGACGAGUCGAGUUGUUUGGGAAUGCAGCUCAAAAUGGGUGGUAAAUUUCAUCUAAAGCUAAAUAUUGGCCAGAGACCGAUAGCGCACAAGUAGAGUGAUCGAAAGAUGAAAAGCACUUUGGAAAGAGAGUUAAACAGUACGUGAAAUUGUUGAAAGGGAAGCGCUUGCAACCAGACUUGCGCGCUGAUGAUCAUCCGGGCUUCUGUCCGGUGCACUCGUCUGCGCUCAGGCCAGCAUCGGUUUCGGUGGUGGGAUAAAGGCCUUGGGAAUGUAGCUCCUCUCGGGGAGUGUUAUAGCCCUCGGUGCAAUGCCGCCUAUCGGGACCGAGGACCGCGCUUCGGCUAGGAUGCUGGCGUAAUGGUUGUAAGCGACCCGUCUUGAAACACGGACCAAGGAGUCUAACAUCUAUGCGAGUGUUUGGGUGUCAAACCCAUACGCGUAAUGAAAGUGAACGGAGGUGAGAACCCUUAAGGGUGCAUCAUCGACCGGUCCUGAUGUCUUCGGAUGGAUCUGAGUAAGAGCAUAGCUGUUGGGACCCGAAAGAUGGUGAACUAUGCGUGAAUAGGGUGAAGCCAGAGGAAACUCUGGUGGAGGCUCGCAGCGGUUCUGACGUGCAAAUCGAUCGUCAAAUUUGCGUAUAGGGGCGAAAGACUAAUCGAACCAUCUAGUAGCU